CCCUGGUGCAUUGUUGUUGCAUUGCAUGUCACCUUGGACGUUGUGCAAUGUUUCUUCAGUGCAGUAUGG
This is a microRNA precursor of Xenopus tropicalis (tropical clawed frog), 69 nucleotides long. Ensembl annotates it as xtr-mir-33b. Its record names the gene xtr-mir-33b. The record is from Ensembl. Lineage: Eukaryota; Metazoa; Chordata; Amphibia; Anura; Pipidae.